UACGUAGGGUGCAAGCGUUGUCCGGAAUUAUUGGGCGUAAAGAGCUCGUAGGCGGUUUGUUGCGUCGGCUGUGAAAUCCCGAGGCUCAACCUCGGGUCUGCAGUCGAUACGAGCAAACUAGAGUGUUGCAGGGGAGACUGGAAUUCCUGGUGUAGCGGUGAAAUGCGCAGAUAUCAGGAGGAACACCGGUGGCGAAGGCGGGUCUCUGGGCAACAACUGACGCUGGAGGAGCGAAAGCGU
RNAcentral lists this ribosomal RNA (240 nucleotides) under uncultured bacterium. Its description in RNAcentral is "partial 16S ribosomal RNA". It matches the Rfam family "Bacterial small subunit ribosomal RNA", at positions 524 to 762 of the family's 1533-position model. The record is from RNAcentral.